GGCGGGAUAGCUCAGUUGGCUAGAGCACACGGUUCAUACCCGUGGUGUCGCUGGUUCAAAUCCAGUUCCCGCUACUA
Molecule: transfer RNA, 77 nt
Filed under: Clostridium sp.
Lineage: Bacteria; Bacillati; Bacillota; Clostridia; Eubacteriales; Clostridiaceae
Also listed under: 14 other names
Description: tRNA-Met
Rfam family: tRNA
About the family: Transfer RNA (tRNA) molecules are approximately 80 nucleotides in length. Their secondary structure includes four short double-helical elements and three loops (D, anti-codon, and T loops).
Source: RNAcentral